GACCAUUGGAUAAAGCCAUUGGGAAUGUAGCAUCUUUAGAUGUGUUAUAGCCUGGUGAUGCAUACGGUGGUUGGGAUUGAGGAAUUCAGCACGCCACCAGGCCGGGUUUCGACCACGUUCGUGCUCAGGAUGCUGGCAUAAUGGCUUUAAUUGACCCGUCUUGAAACACGGACCAAGGAGUCUAACAUAUCUGCGAGUGUUUGGGUGAAAACCCAUGUGCGUAAUGAAAGUGAAAGUUGAGAUCCCUUCUCAAGGGAGCAUCGACGCCCGGACCAGACCUUUUGUGACGGAUCCGCGGUAGAGCAUGUAUGUUGGGACCCGAAAGAUGGUGAACUAUGCCUGAAUAGGGUGAAGCCAGAGGAAACUCUGGUGGAGGCUCGUAGCGAUUCUGACGUGCAAAUCGAUCGUCAAAUUUGGGUAUAGGGGCGAAAGACUAAUCGGACCAUCUAGUAGCUGGUUCCUGCCGAAGUUUCCCUCAGGAUAGCAGAAACUCAUAUCAGAUUUAUGUGGUAAAGCGAAUGAUUAGAGGCCUUGGGGUUGAAACAACCUUAACCUAUUCUCAAACUUUAAAUAUGUAAGAACGAGCCGUCUCUUGACUGGACUGCUCGAUGAUUGAGAGUUUCUAGUGGGCCAUUUUUGGUAAGCAGAACUGGCGAUGCGGGAUGAACCGAACGCGAGGUUAAGGUGCCGGAAUUCACGCUCAUCAGACACCACAAAAGGUGUUGGUUCAUCUAG
RNAcentral lists this ribosomal RNA (735 nucleotides) under uncultured Basidiomycota. RNAcentral describes it as "LSU rRNA". It matches the Rfam family "Eukaryotic large subunit ribosomal RNA", at positions 470 to 1236 of the family's 3401-position model. The record is from RNAcentral. Lineage: Eukaryota; Fungi; Basidiomycota.